Molecule: ribosomal RNA, 614 nt
Filed under: Penicillium sp. ARHSS-6.3
Lineage: Eukaryota; Fungi; Ascomycota; Eurotiomycetes; Eurotiales; Aspergillaceae
Description: eukaryotic LSU rRNA
Rfam family: 5.8S ribosomal RNA (bases 165-317)
Source: RNAcentral
GGGGGCUCUCUGUCACUUCCCCCCGUGUUUCUUUUACCUUGUUGCUUCGGCGGGCCCUGCUUAACUGGUGGCCGGGUGGCUGGCUCCCCCGGGCCCGCGACCGCAUAAGAACCUUGGAACUGUGUCUGAAGACUGUAACCUGAGUGAAAAUACAACUUAUUACAAACUUUCUCUUGGUUAUCUCUUGGUUCCGGAAUCCAUGAAAAUGGCAUAAAAAUGGGAUAUUGCAUGUGUAUUGGAAAUUCCGUGAAUCAUCAAGUCUUUGGACCCCUUUUGCGCCCCCUGGGAUUUGCGGGGGCAUGCCUGUUUUAUCGUCUCUGCUGCCCUCAAGCGUUGGUUGUCUGGUGGGCCCCUUCCUCCGAUCCUCGGCGUAGGGCACUUGAGGCAGCGGCUGCUGCUCGUCCAGUCCUCGAGAGGAUGCACUCUUGUCACCCGCUCUGCAAGCCCGGCCGGCGCCUGCCUAUCAAUUCAAACUUUUAGAUCAGGUUGACCUCGCAUCUGAACUUGAUACCUAUCUGACUUUAAGCGAUAUAAAUAAAGGGAAAAAGAAAGUGAGGCCCUCUGGGUCAACCUCCCACCCGUGUUUUAUUUUUACUUUGUUUGCUUUCGCGCGC